Molecule: unclassified non-coding RNA, 200 nt
Filed under: soil metagenome
Description: partial contains internal transcribed spacer 2 and large subunit ribosomal RNA
Source: RNAcentral
AUGCCUGUUCGAGCGUCAUUUCAACCCUCAAGCCUAGCUUGGUGUUGGGCCAGGCCCGUCGCGGCCGGCCCCAAAGUCAGUGGCGGUGCCCUCCGGCUCUAAGCGUAGUAAUUCUCUCGCUCUAGGCCCGGGUGGUGUCCUGCCAAACCCCAACUUCUAUGGUUGACCUCGGAUCAGGUAGGGAUACCCGCUGAACUUAA